This 342-nucleotide unclassified non-coding RNA is filed under the name Hevea brasiliensis (rubber tree). The record is from RNAcentral. Lineage: Eukaryota; Viridiplantae; Streptophyta; Magnoliopsida; Malpighiales; Euphorbiaceae.
AGCCUCCUGCGGAUAGCUCUGGUCUUUUUAGGGCGCAGAUCAAGAGGUAAAAAUUUCUUAUUCUCAUAUGCCUCCCUAAGGGCAGCCUUCUGUUUCUGAGAAAUGACAGUCAAAACUUGUGCUAUCGAUAAUCUUACCACCUUGAUCUUGCUGAGCUUGUUAGAAGCACCACCAGUGACCUUGGCGACCCGAAGGAGAGCAAGUUCAGCCUUUAGAUCCUUCAAUUGGUUCAAAAGCUCAGUCUUCGACUUCUGCCUCAACUCAUGGACCUUGAUUCUGGCCAUCUCUUUCUCUGAGGUUGGACAACGGCGACUGCUCUGUGUCUCUGCUACUCUGCUUGAG